Molecule: unclassified non-coding RNA, 238 nt
Filed under: Hevea brasiliensis (rubber tree)
Lineage: Eukaryota; Viridiplantae; Streptophyta; Magnoliopsida; Malpighiales; Euphorbiaceae
Source: RNAcentral
GUUUAAAUCACAAAACAAACACCUUAUUAGUAAAUUAACAUAGAUUUCCGCUUUGAGUUUUCAAUACAUUCAAUGGCAGUAAAGUACAAAAUAUUUGCUUGAUGUAGCGUUCCAAGAGACAAAAUGCCUAAAAUCCAUCAGAAGUACAAUAAAACAAAAUAAGAUAAGGGCUAUUGGAAAACCAGUGUCCCAGGCUUCGAAUUUCUAUCCUUUUCCCAAUCAAUCAUGUAUCAGUUAA